RNAcentral lists this transfer RNA (70 nucleotides) under Paroedura picta. Its description in RNAcentral is "tRNA-Lys". The record is from RNAcentral. Lineage: Eukaryota; Metazoa; Chordata; Lepidosauria; Squamata; Gekkonidae.
CUUUAAGUAGCUUAAUUUUUAAGAGCACUGACCUUUUAAGUCAGCCAGUGGGCACUGCGCCCCUUAGAGU